Molecule: ribosomal RNA, 660 nt
Filed under: uncultured bacterium
Lineage: Bacteria
Description: bacterial SSU rRNA
Rfam family: Bacterial small subunit ribosomal RNA
Source: RNAcentral
AGAGUUUGAUCCUGGCUCAGGACGAACGCUGGCGGUGUGCUUCACACAUGCAAGUCGAACGGAGUAGCAAUACUCAGUGGCGGACGGGUGAGUAACACGUGGGAAUCUACCAUUAGGUGGGGAAUAGCAGGCCGAAAGGACUGCUAAUGCCGCAUAUGUAGGCAUCUCGACAGAGAUGUUUAUGAAAGGAGUAAUCCGCCUUUUGAUGAGCCCGCGUCCGAUUAGCUAGUUGGUAGGGUAAAAGCCUACCAAGGCGACGAUCGGUAGGUGGUCUGAGAGGAUGAUCACCCACAAUGGGACUGAGACACGGCCCAUACUCCUACGGGAGGCAGCAGUGGGGAAUUUUACGCAAUGGGGGAAACCCUGACGUAGCGACACCGCGUGAGCGAAGAAGCCCUUUGGGGUGUAAAGCUCUGUCAACAGGAACGAAACAAAUGACGGUACCUGUGGAGGAAGCAUCGGCUAACUACGUGCCAGCAGCCGCGGUAAGACGUAGGAUGCAAGCGUUGUCCGGAUUUAUUGGGCGUAAAGAGUUCGUAGGCGGUUUGUUAAGUCUGAUGUUAAAGACCGGGGCUCAACCUCGGAAAUGCAUUGGAUACUGGCAGACUGGAGUGCAGUAGAGGCUAGUGGAAUUCCCAGUGUAGCGGUGAAAUGCGUAGA